RNAcentral lists this ribosomal RNA (433 nucleotides) under Placoneis baikaloelginensis. RNAcentral describes it as "SSU rRNA". The record is from RNAcentral. Lineage: Eukaryota; Bacillariophyta; Bacillariophyceae; Cymbellales; Cymbellaceae.
UAAUUCCAGCUCCAAUAGCGUAUAUUAAAGUUGUUGCAGUUAAAAAGCUCGUAGUUGGAUUUGUGGGGGAACCUCUGGCCCAUUUUGGUGCCGUGAGGRACCGCCAUCCUUGGGUGGAGCCUGUGUGGCAUUAGGUUGUCGUGCAGGGGAUGCCCAUCAUUUACUGUGAAAAAAUCAGCGCGUUCAAAGCAGGCUUAUGCCAUUGAAUGUAUUAGCAUGGAAUAAUAAGAUAGGACCUUGGCACUAUUUUGUUGGUUUGCGCACCGAGGUAAUGAUUAAUAGGGACAGUUGGGGGUAUUCGUAUUCCAUUGUCAGAGGUGAAAUUCUUGGAUUUCUGGAAGACGAACUACUGCGAAAGCAUUUACCAAGGAUGUUUUCAUUAAUCAAGAACGAAAGUUAGGGGAUCGAAGAUGAUUAGAUACCAUCGUAGUCA